Molecule: long non-coding RNA, 1881 nt
Organism: Arachis duranensis
Lineage: Eukaryota; Viridiplantae; Streptophyta; Magnoliopsida; Fabales; Fabaceae
Exons: 3
Source: RefSeq, a predicted model, not a curated record
GUCUUGGCCUUCACCUCUCUCUGUUCCACGAACGUAAAUCUCUUUGUUUUUUGCUGCUUCUCCGCAUUUUUCCCUCUCUUCUGCCAUCUCUGAGGUCCAUGCCAUGUCUCUUUCUAUCUAUUCUGAUUUCUUUGUAACACAGAACAAUACCUCCUUCUCCAAAUAUUCCUUCUUUUUCGGAUACAACAAAAACAACACAAGCAUUCUCCCAGCUUUUCUCAUUCCUCCAUUCCGUUCAAAACGAAAGGAUCCAAUUUUUUUGGGUUUUUUUUUUCUAUUCAUGUGAAGGUUCCUUUAGAGCUGCGAAGUUUAAGGGCUACAAUAGAAACUGGCCAUAAUUUUUUUUUUUGUAUGUAGAAGCAGGAAACUCAUCUUCUUUAAUGUCAAUAUGUCUAAUCAUUAGGCGCUGGUCACUUCUUCUCCGGAUCAUUUUUCUUUGUAUGUAGAAGUAAGUUACUUAUUUUUAUUAUUUUAAGUUUCUUCAUUAUUGCAGGGGUUACACUAAAAAUUGUCUAUUUUUCCUUUUAAUAUAAAAGCAAGGUUGAUCUCACUUUGAGUUUUACAUUCAUACUUUGAAUUUUCCUAAUCUAAAGGGAUAGUAAAUGUUCAAAUAUAUUGGUGGAUGCACACGAAUUUGUCAACCUUGCUGAUUUUGAACUGGCAAAGGUGAAUAUCUUGCUCAAUUUAUACAUCAAUGUAGAAUCGUUUGUUAGUUUCUCUUAUACUUCAAUUUUAGCUAUCGAUAUCUAAAUAUUGCUCAACUGAUUAACAUUUUAAUUUUCUUAUAUUGCUUUAUUAUUUCAGUCAACCAAAUUGAAUUAUGACAUUAAAUUAUGCAAGGGGAUUUGUUUUGCUGCCUUGCUUUCAUAUGCUUUGGGUUGUUUUCAUUAGGUGUUUUUGCUAUUUGAAAUUCUGCUACUUUAGUUUUAUAUGUUGUUAUCACAAUAUUAUGUUGUUGUUAUCAGUGAUUACAUGUGAUGUCUAAUGCUUUUCUUUGUGUCGUGCAAGAAGGUCAGGGUGUUGUCCCAAAGGUUGCACCAUGAGGUCGCUGUUUUGAAAUUGAAAAAAUGGGUAUUAACUGGCUUGGUUAAAUUGUAACCUAUGCUGCUGUUGGGUUUGGUGACUGAUGAAGCUUGAUAUGAAGAAGUUUCUUCAUUCACUUUCUCUUUGGGUUAAUUAUUUAUUAUUUACAUUGUUUAUUGUUCUGGAGUUUCAUAGUUGCAAUGGCAAGAAAUAGUCAUCUUAUUUAGAGCUUACAAGGUGCUAGAUUUACAUAUCUGUGUCAUGCAUUAUAUCCUUCAAUAAUUGUUUGCUUGCAAUAUGUUUUCUAAAUUGACUCACGAAACAUUUGCAUCAAACCUUUAUCGAAAAAAGGUACUCUUCAACUAUCUUUUCAACAAAUAAUUAUGACUUUCUUGAUUUAGUUUGUAGUAUUCUUCCAUUUUGUUUCAAAAUAUAUUUCAAUAAUCAGUUUUGGUUUUCUGUUUGUAAUAACAUGUUAAAAGAAUUGUUUAUCAUUUGAUAGGAGACAAUAAAAACAAGUUGCUUUUCUGUUGGGUAAGUAUUGAUAAGUAACAAGUGUGAAUGAUACUUAGUCUUAUAUUAAAUGAAAUAAUAUGCGAGAGUUUAUGAGAUGAGAAAUUUAUCUAUUUAGUGCGUUAAGCUGUUUAAGUUGGUGUGGUAUAUUCUCUCACUUAAUUCUUAUACAAGUGAUUGACUAUUUUUUCUUUUGUUGGUAUUGUAAUACGAUUGCUAAAAUAUUACUCUUUGAUUAUUUUUAUUUUUUUGAUACAAACAAUAAAUGUACUGUUUUGCUUCUCUCACUAUCUUUGUCAUGAGAUGGAUAAAUUCUUUUAUUUGUUUUAAUUUAAAGCUUUUCUC